GGGCACUCUAAAGGGACGUGCCGGUGUUAAACCGGAGGAAGGUGGGGAUGACGUCAAGUCCUCAUGGCCUUUAUGACCAGGGCUACACACGUACUACAAUGGCCGAUACAAAGGGCAGCGACACUGCGAGGUGAAGCCAAUCCCGUAAAAUCGGUCUCAGUCCGGAUUGGAGUCUGCAACUCGACUCCAUGAAGUUGGAAUCGCUAGUAAUCGUGGAUCAGCAUGCCACGGUGAAUACGUUCCCGGGCCUU
Molecule: ribosomal RNA, 251 nt
Filed under: uncultured Desulfobulbus sp.
Lineage: Bacteria; Pseudomonadati; Thermodesulfobacteriota; Desulfobulbia; Desulfobulbales; Desulfobulbaceae
Description: partial 16S ribosomal RNA
Rfam family: Bacterial small subunit ribosomal RNA
Source: RNAcentral